RNAcentral lists this ribosomal RNA (301 nucleotides) under uncultured bacterium. RNAcentral describes it as "partial 16S ribosomal RNA". It matches the Rfam family "Bacterial small subunit ribosomal RNA", at positions 509 to 807 of the family's 1533-position model. The record is from RNAcentral.
CAGUCGCCACGGUAAUACGUAGGUGGCAAGCGUUGUCCGGAAUUAUUGGGCGUAAAGGGCUCGCAGGCGGUUUCCUAAGUCUGAUGUGAAAGCCCCCGGCUCAACCGGGGAGGGUCAUUGGAAACUGGGAAACUUGAGUGCAGAAGAGGAGAGUGGAAUUCCACGUGUAGCGGUGAAAUGCGUAGAGAUGUGGAGGAACACCAGUGGCGAAGGCGACUCUCUGGUCUGUCACUGACGCUGAGGCUCGAAAGCGUGGGUAGCGAACAGGAUUAGAUACCCCGGUAGUCCCUGUCUCUUAUAC